Long non-coding RNA from Gasterosteus aculeatus aculeatus (three-spined stickleback), 1411 nucleotides. NCBI's taxonomy places the organism in Eukaryota, Metazoa, Chordata, Actinopteri, Perciformes, Gasterosteidae. The record is from Ensembl.
GUGCAGUUGGUAAAAAGUUUUGGAACCACCGUCCUACGCAUACUCUGCUUUAUUGGACUCUUAAUGCACAGUAAUUUACCAAAUAAACAGACUUUAUUGCAGAAGACCUGACAUAUACUAUAUAAUAAAGUGAUGGAUUAAUAAAUUGUGAAUCACUAUAAUUGGAAUUUGCCGCCUUGGAUUCAUUGAUGGAUCAUUGAUUACAACCAGUCAACGCAAAUCUACUUCUUAAUGGUUUCUUAUAACUGAUCUUCAGGGCAUUAGAAAAUAAUUGAUUUACCUUCCAUAAAACCCUUAGAUUUAUACAUGACAUCACUAUAAGCCUUUGUAAAGGGUGCCUUGUUGGAAAGCAUUGCAGAUGCAUAAUCACUGUUAUGUGCUCUGCCAAAGUCUGGAGUCUGCUGGUGAAACCAUUAUAACUGAAUCCCACCCAAACAAUGACGGAUCAUUCUAUCAAAGAAGUGUCCAUCUUUCUAACCAUGCGUCUGGAACAAACCGCUAUGGCGACGUUAGCUGCAGGCGUCGGGGAAACGCUGGGACGCCCUCAGAGACACAAAGUCACUGCAGUCGCACCAAAAGCUGCACAUAAAGGACGGACAGCGAAGAGGCAGUUCUGUGCUACGGACAGCGUUUACACUAAGGGGCCUCCCUGCUGCUCCAUCCGUCUUCCACUUACCCAAACACCUGGAGGGAGGGGAGGAGGGAGGGAGGGAGGGGGGCGACCAGCCGGCCCCAUGUGAGGGGUUGCUUGCAUGCAGUCAACACGAUCACCGUAACUGGGGCAAGUCUGCCGGCUGUGUAAUGCGCACGCACACACACACACACACAUCUACGGUUACAUGCCGUGUUAAAUGUGCCACCUUAAGAUCCGCCAUAGUUUGUCUGCCUCGCCUGCACAGUGGGAGGAGUUUCCAAUGCAACAGGUAGUUUGGUCGUAAGAGGGUCCCGCUCACGAUGAUCGACCGCACACACCAAGUGAACUGUAGAAGGCCCGGCACGUAAAGCACGUCUCACACGGCGACGCCGAUGACGGAUAGCAGGGCGGACAAGUCCAAACGCUGUGCUGCCGAGUGACAGGCGUCUCCUGCCGAGGGGCACACAGCCGCUACGGGGAUGCUCUUUGUUAAUGGGGGAGGAGGGGGGCACUUAGUUGCUGUUUAUGAACCUUUGAUGUUCGCAGGCUUGAAUUUGAUUCAAGGCGGUCGUCAUUCGCCUCCUUUUUCUCAGAAGCUCUAAGCCCUUCAAAAAAGAGCCAACCCGAAUUCGUGGCAGGAGGCUGAACAGGCCGCUCUUUAUUAAUAGCAGCCGCGGUAUGAGCGCUUUAGACGUGUUUACGUUGAACUGAGCAAGACUGUGGCUCAACCGAGGCCUCGCGUAGUCUCAUGAUUGAGGGGAGGGGAGGAGGGUGGGG